This 290-nucleotide ribosomal RNA is filed under the name uncultured bacterium. Its description in RNAcentral is "partial 16S ribosomal RNA". It matches the Rfam family "Bacterial small subunit ribosomal RNA", at positions 28 to 319 of the family's 1533-position model. The record is from RNAcentral.
GACGAACGCUGGCGGCGUGCUUAACACAUGCAAGUCGAGCGGUAAGGCCCUUUCGGGGGUACACGAGCGGCGAACGGGUGAGUAACACGUGGGUGACCUGCCCUCAGCUCUGGGAUAAGCCUGGGAAACCGGGUCUAAUACCGGAUAUGACUCCAUGACGCAUGUUGUGGGGUGAAAGCCUCGUGCGGCUGAGGAUGGGCCCCGCGGCCUAUCAGCUUGUUGGUGGGGUGANGGCCUACCAAGGCGACGACGGGUGGCCGGCCUGAGAGGGCGACCGGCCACACUGGGAC